GCCCGAAUGGCUCAGUGGUAAAGCGUCUCACUAGUACAGGCUGGCCCAGUCCGAGGACUGGGAGAGUGAACACGACAUGAGAAGAUCGCCAGUUCGAUUCUGGCUUUGGGCA
The sequence is a transfer RNA, 112 nucleotides long. It matches the Rfam family "tRNA". From Rfam's summary of the family: Transfer RNA (tRNA) molecules are approximately 80 nucleotides in length. Their secondary structure includes four short double-helical elements and three loops (D, anti-codon, and T loops). The record is from Rfam.